AGAGUUUGAUUAUGGCUCAGGAUGAACGCUGGCGGCGUGCCUAACACAUGCAAGUCGAGCGAUCUUCUCGGAAGAGAGCGGCGGACGGGUGAGUAACGCGUGGGUAACCUGCCCUGUACACACGGAUAACAUACCGAAAGGUAUGCUAAUACGGGAUAACAUACUUUUAUCGCAUGGUAGAAGUAUCAAAGCUCCGGCGGUACAGGAUGGACCCGCGUCUGAUUAGCUAGUUGGUAAGGUAACGGCUUACCAAGGCGACGAUCAGUAGCCGACCUGAGAGGGUGAUCGGCCACAUUGGAACUGAGACACGGUCCAAACUCCUACGGGAGGCAGCAGUGGGGAAUAUUGCACAAUGGGCGAAAGCCUGAUGCAGCCAACGCCGCGUGAGCGAUGAAGGCCUUCGGGUCGUAAAGCUCUGUCCUCAAGGAAGAUAAUGGCGGUACUUGAGGAGGAAGCCCCGGCUAACUACGUGCCAGCAGCUGC
This 483-nucleotide ribosomal RNA is filed under the name uncultured bacterium. RNAcentral's name for it is "bacterial SSU rRNA". It matches the Rfam family "Bacterial small subunit ribosomal RNA", at positions 8 to 518 of the family's 1533-position model. The record is from RNAcentral.